GAUGAACGCUAGCGGGAGGCUUAAUACAUGCAAGUCGAGGGUGAAGCUAUUUUCGGAUGGUGGAAACCGGCGCACGGGUGAGUAACGCGUACACUACCUACCUCAUACUGGGGAAUAGCCUUUGGAAACGAAGAGUAAUACCCCAUAGUUCCCGAUGUAUUUCGGGAUAAAGUUCCGGCGGUAUGAGAUGGGUGUGCGUCCCAUUAGCUAGUUGGUAGGGUAAAGGCCUACCAAGGCAACGAUGGGUAGGGGGCGUGAGAGCGUGAUCCCCCACACGGGUACUGAGACACGGACCCGACGACUACGGUCGGCAGCAGUAAGGAAUAUUGGACAAUGGGCGAAAGCCUGAUCCAGCCAUCCCGCGUGUAGGAUGACAGCCCUACGGGUCGUAAACUACUUUUGCUUGGGAAGAAACCCCUGGAUUUACUCCGGGGCUGACGGUACCUUGCGAAUAAGCACCGGCUAACUCCGUG
Molecule: ribosomal RNA, 473 nt
Filed under: uncultured bacterium
Lineage: Bacteria
Description: bacterial SSU rRNA
Rfam family: Bacterial small subunit ribosomal RNA
Source: RNAcentral